RNAcentral lists this long non-coding RNA (757 nucleotides) under Pan troglodytes (chimpanzee). RNAcentral's name for it is "long non-coding RNA NONPTRT014420". The record is from RNAcentral. Lineage: Eukaryota; Metazoa; Chordata; Mammalia; Primates; Hominidae.
AUUUAGAAUAAUUUUUCUCAUAAUUUGAGCAACAUGCAUGAGAGAAGUCCUCAACCUCUGCCAAAUUAAGUGUAUCCUAUGACUCUCCAUCUGAAAACAUCCUUUCUGGGGCCAGGGAAGUUUCUUCCAUCCCUGUCUUUUGGUGGCUGUGUUGAAGAUGCAAUGAGAAGAUAUUGGUCAUCCUUUUCCUAGGGACUGCUGAGCACCAGACUGAAAAUGCACGUCUGUCAAACUGUUUUACCAUCAAAUAAUGAAGACGUUUGCGUGCCAUUUUGGAUUUUGCAGCUCACUACUGCUUAUCUCCCGGAGGCCCGUGGCGUCCAGUGUUGGUCCACCAGUUACACUUCGCAGAAGGUAGAACCCUGGGAGGAAGAGAGCCAGGAAGGGAAGAGUCUAUGGGUACAAAGAGUUCGUGCACAUGGAACACACCAUACCACAUCACUAAGAAAAUUAACCUUCCGUGUCUGGAUGAGGAAAGUCAGGUGCAGAGAAGAAUAUGAAGGCAAUUAAAGAACAAAAACCAUAACAUGCCCCAAAUUACGAAAAGAACUGGCAUUUGCAAAGAAUAACAUCCUCACUCAGGCCUCAUGUUGUAAGUGAGGAAACUACGAAUCAAAGACAACAAGCAGCCCUCUGCUUAGCUCAGCUCCCAGGAACCAUUCUCUUCCCAGAGCACAUGUUCUGGAGGGGCCUGGUUUUCCAUCUUCUCUGGGUAAGUUACCUGAUAGAGCCUUCGCUGUCAGGCUCUGGCUUCUCU